This 22-nucleotide non-coding RNA is filed under the name Arabidopsis thaliana (thale cress). The record is from RNAcentral. Lineage: Eukaryota; Viridiplantae; Streptophyta; Magnoliopsida; Brassicales; Brassicaceae.
UGACGACGAGAGGCUCCAUCUA